Molecule: ribosomal RNA, 411 nt
Filed under: uncultured bacterium
Lineage: Bacteria
Description: bacterial SSU rRNA
Rfam family: Bacterial small subunit ribosomal RNA
Source: RNAcentral
CUGCCAGCCGCCGCGGUAAUACGGAGGGUGCGAGCGUUGUCCGGAAUCACUGGGCGUAAAGGGCGCGUAGGCGGCCAGGUAAGUCGGAUGUGAAAUCCCGGGGCUCAACUCCGGGGCGCCAUCCGAGACUGCAUGGCUCGAGCACGGUAGGGGCGAGUGGAAUUCCCGGUGUAGCGGUGGAAUGCGUAGAGAUCGGGAAGAACACCAGUGGCGAAGGCGGCUCGCUGGGCCGUUGCUGACGCUGAGGCGCGAAAGCGUGGGGAGCAAACAGGAUUAGAUACCCUGGUAGUCCACGCCGUAAACGAUGUGUGUUUGUCGCCGGGAGGUUUACCUUUCGGUGACGCAGCUAACGCGUUAAGCACACCGCCUGGGAAGUACGGCCGCAAGGUUAAAACUCAAAUGAAUUGACGG